This 359-nucleotide RNase P RNA is filed under the name Pseudomonadales bacterium. RNAcentral describes it as "RNase P RNA component class A". It matches the Rfam family "Bacterial RNase P class A". Rfam says of the family: Ribonuclease P (RNase P) is a ubiquitous endoribonuclease, found in archaea, bacteria and eukarya as well as chloroplasts and mitochondria. Its best characterised activity is the generation of mature 5'-ends of tRNAs by cleaving the 5'-leader elements of precursor-tRNAs. The record is from RNAcentral. Lineage: Bacteria; Pseudomonadati; Pseudomonadota; Gammaproteobacteria; Pseudomonadales.
AGAGUUGGCUGGACAGUCGCUGUGUUGGCNCCGCAAGGCGUCGGCAGGGAGGAAAGUCCGGGCUCCAUAGGGCAGAGUGCCAGGUAACGCCUGGGAGGCGUGAGCCUACGGAAAGUGCAGCAGAGAGCAAACCGCCUAAGCGCGUAAGCGCCGGUAAGGGUGAAAAGGUGCGGUAAGAGCGCACCGCGCAGCUGGUAACAGUCUGUGGCGUGGUAAACCCCACUCGGAGCAAGACCAAAUAGGAAUCCAUUGGUGUGGCCCGCACUGGAUUCGGGUAGGUUGCUUGAGGUUGUCAGUGAUGGCAAUCCCAGAGGAAUGACUGUUCUCGACAGAACCCGGCUUANAGGCCAACUCUUAUU